This 228-nucleotide ribosomal RNA is filed under the name Crypthecodinium cohnii. RNAcentral describes it as "partial Bacterial small subunit ribosomal RNA". It matches the Rfam family "Bacterial small subunit ribosomal RNA", at positions 1216 to 1443 of the family's 1533-position model. The record is from RNAcentral. Lineage: Eukaryota; Dinophyceae; Gonyaulacales; Crypthecodiniaceae.
ACACACGUGCUACAAUGGUCGGUACAAAGGGUUGCUACCUCGCGAGAGGAUGCUAAUCUCAAAAAGCCGAUCGUAGUCCGGAUUGGAGUCUGCAACUCGACUCCAUGAAGUCGGAAUCGCUAGUAAUCGCGGAUCAGAAUGCCGCGGUGAAUACGUUCCCGGGCCUUGUACACACCGCCCGUCACACCAUGGGAGUUGGUUCUACCCGAAGGCGAUGCGCUAACCGCA